CCUACGAGCGGCAGCAGUAGGGAAUCUUCCACAAUGGGCGAAAGCCUGAUGGAGCAACGCCGCGUGGGUGAAGAAGGCCUUCGGAUCGUAAAACCCUGUUGUUAGAGAAGAAAGUGCGUGAGAGUAACUGUUCACGUCUCGACGGUAUCUAACCAGAAAGCCACGGCUAACUACGUGCCAGCAGCCGCGGUAAUACGUAGGUGGCAAGCGUCAUCCGGCUGUAUUGGGCGUAAAGGGGACGCAGGCGGUCUUUUAAGUCUGAUGUGAAAGCCUUCGGCUUAACCUGAGUAGUGCAGUGGAAACUGGGAGACUUGAGCUCAGGAGAGGAGAGUGGAACGCCAUGUGUAGCGGUGAAAUGCGUAGAUAUCUGGAAGAACACCAGUGGCGAAAGCGGCUCUCUGGUCUGUAACUGACGCUGAGGUUCGAAAGCGUGGGUAGCAAACAGGAUUAGAUACCCGUGUAGUC
This 465-nucleotide ribosomal RNA is filed under the name uncultured bacterium. RNAcentral describes it as "partial 16S ribosomal RNA". It matches the Rfam family "Bacterial small subunit ribosomal RNA", at positions 338 to 795 of the family's 1533-position model. The record is from RNAcentral.